UCUAAGGAUUGUAAACUUCUGUUAGCGCGGAAAAAGGGCUAAACGUGAGUUUAGUUUUGAUGGUACGCGCAGAGAAAGCAACGACUAACUAUGUGC
This 96-nucleotide ribosomal RNA is filed under the name uncultured bacterium. RNAcentral's name for it is "partial 16S ribosomal RNA". The record is from RNAcentral.